CACCCCAGGUGUUAAUCACCUGUAGUUAUGGUUAAUCGUGUAUUUGAUAUCGUUGUUAGCACUAACCUUGCAUGCAUAAAAUCUUUUAAUUACAUUUUUUGCUAGCUUGUUAACACAUGAAAUGAUGACUAAUUUUCAAAUCCAAUGAAACAUGCUUUAAAAAUAAUUUUUAAAUUCUUGCUCAAAUAAACUUUUGCCUAAAAACAAAGUUGUAGAGUUUGGAAUGGCGAAAAACUUUCGUGUUUAUGGUUUUUCAAGUUUCAGUACAAAAAUUUGAUGAAAACUUUUAAUUUUGCUUUGAAUAGGACAUUAAUGCUUUGGUUUUAACAUUUCAAAUUUUGAACCAUGAUUUGAUCUUCAAAUAAAGUUUUGCCUAAAACAAAAGUUGGAGGAAAUCAAAUUUUGAACAACUUUCAUUCUUGGAAUUUUUCGAGUUUCUAUAUGAAGUUUUGAGUUUUGGACGGUCAAAAUCGAGCUAAGUUUCGUUGAACCAUUUUCUCCCGGUGUUUAUCUGCUCCCUUCCGCCACCCAUGGCCACGUGACGCGCGGCGAGCACCUGCUCGCCGACGUGCUGUGCGCGCCACGCGCCGGCUCCCGUGGCAGCCUGGGCACGAGCCUUCGCGACCUCCCCGGCCUUAUCCUCUCUCGGCAUCUCUAUCCACUCCCUCUCCCCCUUCCAGUUCCUCCCUCCUCUAGCUUGGUCGAGCCGAGCAGAGCCGCUAUCGCCGCCGCUCCGGCCAUCCUGGGCCACCGCGCCUCGAUUCACUCCGCGAGGAGCCGCACCACAUCCACCCGCACCUCCUCCCGCAACCUCAACUCCCGGCCAAGCUCUCCCCAGUUGGAAUCGACACCCCCGCCCACCGGUCUCCAUUAAAGUUUCGUCGAAACUCAGGCCGUCGCCGAACUCCAUCUCUCGGCCACAGUUUCCACCAACCAACGGCUAGAAUCGACUCCUCUCGACUCGCUGAAGCUCGUGCUCUCCACGUUCCAUCGCGUUCCACAAGUUUCCAUGCUCGUUCAUGGCGCCGCCACCGCCGCCGCUCACUGCUCCCGGCGCCGGCGCCUCUCCGGUCGCCCCCAACCCUCAACGAGACCACCCAGAGGUACGCUAGAUGUACGACGCGUGGAGCUAAAGGAUAAAGUCGGAGCCGGACCCGAAGAUGAUGUUUGGUUGACAUAUCCAGAAGAUGGAUGGAUGGAUCCCGAUGUGCACGACCGAAGGCAGGUGCUCGUCAAGCGAGUGUCAUCUAACCAACACUAACUAAUUCAGUGUUAAUCCCAGGCAAGCCCCGGAGCAUAACCCUUAACUUCAGUAUUCAAUGUUUAUUUAUAUAAUUAUUGUGCAUUUACGUUCUA
This is a long non-coding RNA of Panicum virgatum (switchgrass), 1356 nucleotides long. RefSeq lists it as uncharacterized. NCBI's taxonomy places the organism in Eukaryota, Viridiplantae, Streptophyta, Magnoliopsida, Poales, Poaceae. The record is from RefSeq and is a predicted model, not a curated record. The transcript is spliced from 2 exons.